This 410-nucleotide ribosomal RNA is filed under the name uncultured bacterium. RNAcentral describes it as "bacterial SSU rRNA". It matches the Rfam family "Bacterial small subunit ribosomal RNA", at positions 917 to 1322 of the family's 1533-position model. The record is from RNAcentral.
GGGCCCGCACAAGCGGUGGAGCAUGUGGUUUAAUUCGAUGCAACGCGAAGAACCUUACCAGGCCUUGACAUCCUGGUCGCGGUUUGAGGAGACUCUUACCUUCAGUUCGGCUGGACCAGUGACAGGUGCUGCAUGGCUGUCGUCAGCUCGUGUCGUGAGAUGUUGGGUUAAGUCCCGCAACGAGCGCAACCCUCGUCCUAUGUUGCCAGCACGUAAUGGUGGGAACUCAUGGGAUACUGCCGGGGUCAACUCGGAGGAAGGUGGGGAUGACGUCAAAUCAUCAUGCCCCUUAUGUCUUGGGCUUCACGCAUGCUACAAUGGCCGGUACAGAGGGCUGCAAUACCGCAAGGUGGAGCGAAUCCCAAAAAGCCGGUCUCAGUUCGGAUUGAGGUCUGCAACUCGACCUCAUG